GACGUAGGGUCCGAGCGUUGUCCGGAGUUACUGGGCGUAAAGCGCGCGCAGGCGGUCCAGCGCAUCGGUGGUGAAAGCCCCCCGCUUAACGGGGGAGGGUCCAUCGAGAUGGCUGGACUGGAGGCAGGGAGAGGCGAGUGGAAUUCCGGGUGUAGUGGUGAAAUGCGUAGAGAUCCGGAGGAACACCAGCGGCGAAGGCGGCUCGCUGGACCUGACCUGACGCUGAGGCGCGAAGGCGCGGGGAGCGAACGGG
RNAcentral lists this ribosomal RNA (253 nucleotides) under uncultured Sphaerobacter sp. Its description in RNAcentral is "partial 16S ribosomal RNA". It matches the Rfam family "Bacterial small subunit ribosomal RNA", at positions 524 to 776 of the family's 1533-position model. The record is from RNAcentral. Lineage: Bacteria; Pseudomonadati; Thermomicrobiota; Thermomicrobia; Sphaerobacterales; Sphaerobacteraceae.